Long non-coding RNA from Carassius carassius (crucian carp), 609 nucleotides. RefSeq lists it as uncharacterized. The record is from RefSeq and is a predicted model, not a curated record. NCBI's taxonomy places the organism in Eukaryota, Metazoa, Chordata, Actinopteri, Cypriniformes, Cyprinidae. The transcript has 3 exons.
AUCGGUGUCUCAUAAUCAAUAAUGAGACUGAGUUUUUUAUCCAAUGAAAAGACACUCUCUUAAUUAUUCAUGACACCACGUGGAUCUUUCUAACGACAGACAUGUCAAGCAAGCUGUGAAAUCGCGCAGUAGAUGAGUGAGGCAAUCAUGGGACGCAAGUGUUUGUUUUCGUGGUGCAAAAGUUCGAAUGGGUUGCAUAUGUUUCCCCGUGAUGAUGCCAGGGCUAGACUCUGGCUGCGGGCAGUUGGUUGGCCAUCAACCACGGACACAUCUAGAUUAUAUGUGCGCAGCAAACAUUUUUCGAGAGAGAGCUUCGAGAAUUGGAGAAUGGUGGACUUUGGCCUUGUUGACUACCAAUGCAAGUUGCGUCUUGCGAUUGAUGCGGUGCCAAGUCCCGAGGACUUUUCUAUCCUUUCAGAGCCUAAACUGUGUUUUGAGAUGGCGUGUCAGACCGAGAAGCCCGCCAAAAAAGAUGCUGCAUGUCAAACCCAUCCCGACAUGAAGCAUAUGUCAACGCAACAUCGCUGGAAACCUGAACGAAGGAGCAAGAGCACUCAGGUGAAGCAACAGAAAAGGCAUGUUGGUUGCAACACUUCCACACCAUUUAUA